This 253-nucleotide ribosomal RNA is filed under the name Clostridioides difficile. RNAcentral's name for it is "partial 23S ribosomal RNA". It matches the Rfam family "Bacterial large subunit ribosomal RNA", at positions 1413 to 1663 of the family's 2925-position model. The record is from RNAcentral. Lineage: Bacteria; Bacillati; Bacillota; Clostridia; Peptostreptococcales; Peptostreptococcaceae.
AGGUGAUGGACAACAGGUUGAUAUUCCUGUACUACCGAUAACCGUUUGAGAGAAGGGAUGACACAGUAGGAUAAGCUAAGCACACUGUUGGUUAUGUGUGCCCAAGCAUUGAGGCAGUCAAAGUAGGUAAAUCCGCUUUGAUAAUGCUGGGAUGUGAUGGGGAGCGAAAUUUAGUAGCGAAGUAGCUGAUUUCACACUGUCAAGAAAAGUCUCUAUCGAGGUUAAAGGUACCCGUACCGCAAACCGACACAGG